GCCGGUGUAGCUCAGUGGUAGAGCAUUCGAUUCGUAAUCGAAUGGUCAUCGGUUCAAAUCCGAUCACCGGCUCCA
This 75-nucleotide transfer RNA is filed under the name Verrucomicrobiota bacterium. RNAcentral describes it as "Verrucomicrobia bacterium (groundwater metagenome) tRNA-Thr". It matches the Rfam family "tRNA". Rfam says of the family: Transfer RNA (tRNA) molecules are approximately 80 nucleotides in length. Lineage: Bacteria; Pseudomonadati; Verrucomicrobiota. The record is from RNAcentral.